CAGGCCUAACACAUGCAAGUCGAGCGCUCCAGCAAUGGAGAGCGGCAAACGGGUGCGGAACACGUACGCAAUCUGCCCUUCACUGGGGAAUAGCCCGAAGAAAUUCGGAUUAAUACCCCAUAAAAUAGCAAGGUGGCAUCAUCUAACUAUUAAAGUUCCGGCGGUGAAGGAUGAGCGUGCGUCCUAUUAGGUAGUUGGUAGGGUAAUGGCCUACCAAGCCGACGAUAGGUAGCUGGUGUGAGAGCACGACCAGCCACACGGGCACUGAGACACGGGCCCGACUCCUACGGGAGGCAGCAGUGAGGAAUAUUGGUCAAUGGACGCAAGUCCGAACCAGCCAUGCCGCGUGGAGGAUGAAGGCCCUCUGGGUUGUAAACUUCUUUUAUCAGGGAAGAAAAGCAUUGUUUCUACGAUGUCCGACGGUACCUGAUGAAUAAGCACCGGCUAACUCCGUGCCAGCAGCCGCGGUAA
RNAcentral lists this ribosomal RNA (471 nucleotides) under uncultured bacterium. RNAcentral describes it as "bacterial SSU rRNA". It matches the Rfam family "Bacterial small subunit ribosomal RNA", at positions 43 to 523 of the family's 1533-position model. The record is from RNAcentral.